Molecule: unclassified non-coding RNA, 371 nt
Filed under: Hevea brasiliensis (rubber tree)
Lineage: Eukaryota; Viridiplantae; Streptophyta; Magnoliopsida; Malpighiales; Euphorbiaceae
Source: RNAcentral
AAGAGUUCAGCACUCCAUUUAUCUUUAACAAGCUUAGCAACUCCAAAGUUUCCUGAUCCAAUAUCUUUCAAUAUCUCGUAGCGAUCCAUCUUUCAAUAUUAAUUGACUUAGAAGAAAAGAAUGGAACAAAAGUCUACAUAUAUAUAGAAAGAGAGAGAGGGAGAGAGAGAAGUGCUUGUGUUAAAAAUUUAUGGUUUCUUGAAUAAUGAAAGAUGAUUGCUUGACUUCUCUUAGCACCGUCCCUUUACUUGCAUGCAUUGAGAAUCUCUAUGGGUUUCAUGACCACGAAUGCAAAAGCUGGAAAAGCCAAUGUGAGGUUGAAGUUGCUGCCCUAUUGGUCUGUCAAAAAUUUAAGUCUUUGGAAUGCUGAG